UCGCCUGUUUAUCAAAAACAUGGCCUUUUGAUUAAUAUAUUAUAAAAGGUCUGACCUGCCCGGUGGUUUAUCUAAACGGCUGCAGUGAAUAACUGUACAAAGGUAGCGUAGUCAGUUGUCCUUUAAAUGGGGAAAGGUAUGAAAGGUUUGACGAUAAAAAAGCUGUCUCUUAAGAAUAGUGUGAAGUUUCCGUUUAAGUGAAAAGGCUUGAAUUUUUGAAAAAGACGAGAAGACCCUGUUGAGCUUGAUUAUGUUUUUUUAUUUAAAGAAGUUGAAGUUUUAUUGGGGCAAUAAGAAGCUAAAAAGAAUGCUUCGUUUUAUGGUAAAGAUCCUUCAUGGAAGAAGUAAGCAAAAGCUACCACAGGGAUAACAGCGUUAUCUUUCUUAAGAGUUCUGAUUAAGGGAAAGGUUUGCGACCUCGAUGUUGGAUUAAGAUAUCUUUUUGGCGCAGCAGCUAAAAAAGUGAGACUGUUCGUCUUUUAAAAUUUUACGUGAUCUGAGUUCAGACCGGA
Molecule: ribosomal RNA, 512 nt
Filed under: Ectenagena elongata
Lineage: Eukaryota; Metazoa; Mollusca; Bivalvia; Venerida; Vesicomyidae
Description: partial 16S ribosomal RNA
Rfam family: Bacterial large subunit ribosomal RNA
Source: RNAcentral